GUUUUCAACGUGAAGGUUAGCACUCCCCUUCAUAAAGACUGAAGAGGUCCUAGUGGUCUUCACAACAUAUGUACAGUUAAGAUAUUGCCACCUAUUCUGUGGCAUCCUACCAUGUCAUAAG
Sarcophilus harrisii (Tasmanian devil) is the source of this 121-nucleotide small nuclear RNA. The record is from Ensembl. NCBI's taxonomy places the organism in Eukaryota, Metazoa, Chordata, Mammalia, Dasyuromorphia, Dasyuridae.